RNAcentral lists this ribosomal RNA (425 nucleotides) under uncultured rumen bacterium. RNAcentral's name for it is "bacterial SSU rRNA". It matches the Rfam family "Bacterial small subunit ribosomal RNA", at positions 354 to 776 of the family's 1533-position model. The record is from RNAcentral.
GUGGGGAAUAUUGGUCAAUGGGGGGAACCCUGAACCAGCCAUGCCGCGUGGAGGAAGACGGCCCUACGGGUUGUAAACUCCUUUAGCACGGGAAUAAACUCAGUCACGCGUGACUGAUUGAAGGUACCGUGAGAAUAAGCAUCGGCUAACUCCGUGCCAGCAGCCGCGGUAAUACGGAGGAUGCAGGCGUUAUCCGGAUUUAUUAGGUUUAAAGGGUGCGUAGGCGGCCCGGUAAGUCAGCGUUGAAAGUCUGCGGCUCAACCGUAGAAUUGGCAUUGAUACUGUCGGGCUUGGAUGCGGUGGAAGUAGGCGGAAUGUGCAGUGUAGCGGUGAAAUGCUUAGAUAUUGUACAGAACACCGAUUGCGAAGGCAGCUUACUAUACCGUUAUUGACGCUGAGGCACGAAAGCGCGGGGAUCGAACAGG